This 71-nucleotide small RNA is filed under the name Flavobacterium sp. 102. Its description in RNAcentral is "Flavo-1 RNA". The record is from RNAcentral. Lineage: Bacteria; Pseudomonadati; Bacteroidota; Flavobacteriia; Flavobacteriales; Flavobacteriaceae.
UUUUAGCCCCGAUAGAGCCGAUAUCCUCACGUAGUUUACGGAGUGAGAUAAAGGCGAAAGCGGGAAAUAGC